GGAAACAGGGGAGUGCCCGUUCGGGAACCCGGUGACAGGUGCUGCAUGGCUGUCGUCAGCUCGUGUCGUGAGAUGUUGGGUUAAGUCCCGCAACGAGCGCAACCUUGUCAUUAGUUGCUACAUUCAGUUGGGCACUCUAAUGGGACUGCCGGUGACAAGCCGGAGGAAGGUGGGGAUGACGUCAAGUCCUCAUGGCCCUUAUAGGUGGGGCUACACACGUCAUACAAUGGCUGGUACAAAGGGUUGCCAACCCGCGAGGGGGAGCCAAUCCCAUAAAGCCAGUCGUAGUCCGGAUCGUAGUCUGCAACUCGACUACGUGAAGUCGGAAUCGCUAGUAAUCGUGGAUCAGAAUGUCACGGUGAAUACGUUCCCGGGUCUU
This 379-nucleotide ribosomal RNA is filed under the name uncultured Rhodoferax sp. RNAcentral describes it as "bacterial SSU rRNA". It matches the Rfam family "Bacterial small subunit ribosomal RNA", at positions 1002 to 1382 of the family's 1533-position model. The record is from RNAcentral. Lineage: Bacteria; Pseudomonadati; Pseudomonadota; Betaproteobacteria; Burkholderiales; Comamonadaceae.